GAUGAACGCUGGCGGCGUGCUUAACACAUGCAAGUCGAACGGAACUACUCCAAUGAGAGUCUUCGGAAAGGAUUUGGUUUAGUUUAGUGGCGGACGGGUGAGUAACGCGUGGGUAACCUGCCCUAUACAGGGGGAUAACAGUUGGAAACGACUGUUAAUACCGCAUAAGCGCACAGGAGCGCAUGCUCCGGUGUGAAAAACUCCGGUGGUAUAGGAUGGACCCGCGUCUGAUUAGCUGGUUGGCGGGGUAACGGCCCACCAAGGCGACGAUCAGUAGCCGGCCUGAGAGGGUGAACGGCCACAUUGGGACUGAGACACGGCCCAAACUCCUACGGGAGGCAGCAGUGGGGAAUAUUGCACAAUGGGGGAAACCCUGAUGCAGCGACGCCGCGUGAGCGAAGAAGUAUCUCGGUAUGUAAAGCUCUAUCAGCAGGGAAGAAAAUGACGGUACCUGACGAAGAAGCCCCGGCUAACUACGUG
RNAcentral lists this ribosomal RNA (480 nucleotides) under uncultured bacterium. RNAcentral's name for it is "partial 16S ribosomal RNA". It matches the Rfam family "Bacterial small subunit ribosomal RNA", at positions 28 to 507 of the family's 1533-position model. The record is from RNAcentral.